UACGAAGGGGGCUAGCGUUGCUCGGAAUCACUGGGCGUAAAGCGCACGUAGGCGGAUCUUUAAGUCAGGGGUGAAAUCCCAAGGCUCAACCUUGGAACUGCCUUUGAUACUGGGGAUCUCGAGUCCGGAAGAGGUUGGUGGAACUGCGAGUGUAGAGGUGAAAUUCGUAGAUAUUCGCAAGAACACCAGUGGCGAAGGCGGCCAACUGGUCCGGUACUGACGCUGAGGUGCGAAAACGUGGGGAGCAAACAGG
This 253-nucleotide ribosomal RNA is filed under the name uncultured bacterium. RNAcentral's name for it is "partial 16S ribosomal RNA". It matches the Rfam family "Bacterial small subunit ribosomal RNA", at positions 524 to 776 of the family's 1533-position model. The record is from RNAcentral.